Molecule: long non-coding RNA, 1390 nt
Organism: Oncorhynchus keta (chum salmon)
Lineage: Eukaryota; Metazoa; Chordata; Actinopteri; Salmoniformes; Salmonidae
Exons: 3
Source: RefSeq, a predicted model, not a curated record
CUUUUUAAUUAUAGGUUCAUAGUGUUCUCACAGUGGUCAGGUACUUGUUAUAUGACAGGACAAACACAUUAGACUAUAAUGAUGCGAGGGAGGGAGGGCGAGUCUUUUUAAUUAUAGGUUCAUAGUGUUCUCACAGUGGUCAGGUACUUGUUAUAUGACAGGACAAACACAUUAGACUAUAAUGAUGCGAGGGAGGGAGGGCGAGUCUUUUUAAUUAUAGGUUCAUAGUGUUCUCACAGUGGUCAGGUACUUGUUAUAUGACAGGACAAACACAUUAGACUAUAAUGAUGCGAGGGAGGGAGGACGAGUCUUUUUAAUUAUAGGUUCAUAGUGUUCUCACAGUGGUCAGGUACUUGUUAUAUGACAGGACAAACACAUUAGACUAUAAUGAUGCGAGGGAGGGAGGGCGAGUCUUUUUAAUUAUAGGUUCAUAGUGUUCUCACAGUGGUCAGGUACUUGUUAUAUGACAGGACAAACACAUUAGACUAUAAUGAUGCGAGGGAGGGAGGGCGAGUCUUUUUAAUUAUAGGUUCAUAGUGUUCUCACAGUGGUCAGGUACUUGUUAUAUGACAGGACAAACACAUUAGACUAUAAUGAUGCGAGGGAGGGAGGACGAGUCUUUUUAAUUAUAGGUUCAUAGUGUUCUCACAGUGGUCAGGUACUUGUUAUAUGACAGGACAAACACAUUAGACUAUAAUGAUGCGAGGGAGGGAGGGCGAGUCUUUUUAAUUAUAGGUUCAUAGUGUUCUCACAGUGGUCAGGUACUUGUUAUAUGACAGGACAAACACAUUAGACUAUAAUGAUGCGAGGGAGGGAGGGCGAGUCUUUUUAAUUAUAGGUUCAUAGUGUUCUCACAGUGGUCAGGUACUUGUUAUAUGACAGGACAAACACAUUAGACUAUAAUGAUGCGAGGGAGGGAGGGCGAGUCUUUUUAAUUAUAGGUUCAUAGUGUUCUCACAGUGGUCAGGUACUUGUUAUAUGACAGGACAAACACAUUAGACUAUAAUGAUGCGAGGGAGGGAGGGCGAGUCUUUUUAAUUAUAGGUUCAUAGUGUUCUCACAGUGGUCAGGUACUUGUUAUAUGACAGGACAAACACAUUAGACUAUAAUGAUGCGAGGGAGGGAGGGCGAGUCUUUUUAAUUAUAGGUUCAUAGUGUUCUCACAGUGGUCAGGUACUUGUUAUAUGACAGGACAAACACAUUAGACUAUAAUGAUGCGAGGGAGGGAGGGCGAGUCUUUUUAAUUAUAGGUUCAUAGUGUUCUCACAGUGGUCAGGUACUUGUUAUAUGACAGGACAAACACAUGUUAGGAUAUCUGGUGACUUAACCUCUGCUCGCCUCCUCUGAAACCUUGUUGACCUGUCAUUGACCUCUUCAUGUACAUGGGACC